UACGUAGGUGACGAGCGUUAUCCGGAUUUACUGGGCGUAAAGCGCUUGUAGGUGGUUGUGUAAGUUGGACGUUAAAUCUCCAGGCUCAACUUGGAGAGGCCGUUCAAUACUGCGCGACUAGAGGAUGUCAGAGGAAGGUGGAAUUCCAGGUGUAGUAGUGAAAUGCGUAGAUAUCUGGAGGAACACCCGUGGCGAAAGCGGCCUUCUGGGACAUUCCUGACACUGAGAAGCGAAAGCUAGGGGAGCAAACAGG
RNAcentral lists this ribosomal RNA (253 nucleotides) under uncultured bacterium. Its description in RNAcentral is "partial 16S ribosomal RNA". It matches the Rfam family "Bacterial small subunit ribosomal RNA", at positions 524 to 776 of the family's 1533-position model. The record is from RNAcentral.